GACGAACGCUGGCGGCGUGCUUAACACAUGCAAGUCGAGCGGUAAGGCCCUUCGGGGUACACGAGCGGCGAACGGAUGAGUAACACGUGGGUGACCUGCCUCUAGCUCUGGGAUAAGCCUGGGAAACUGGGUCUAAUACCGGAUAUGACUCCACGGCGCAUGUUGUGGGGUGGAAAGCCUUGUGUGGCUAGAGAUGGGCCCGCGGCCUAUCAGCUUGUGUGGGNAUGGCCUACCAAGGCGACGACGGUAGCCGGCCUGAGAGGGCGACCGGCCACACUGGGACUGAGACACGGCCCAGACUCCUACGGGAGGCAGCAGUGGGGAAUCUUGCGCAAUGGGCGAAAGCCUGACGCAGCGACGCCGCGUGA
Molecule: ribosomal RNA, 368 nt
Filed under: uncultured bacterium
Lineage: Bacteria
Description: bacterial SSU rRNA
Rfam family: Bacterial small subunit ribosomal RNA
Source: RNAcentral